Molecule: long non-coding RNA, 1168 nt
Organism: Oncorhynchus tshawytscha (Chinook salmon)
Lineage: Eukaryota; Metazoa; Chordata; Actinopteri; Salmoniformes; Salmonidae
Source: Ensembl
GGGAGACAGCUCCCCCUCAUCCAUCUCUGGUUCUCACCGGGAGUCUGGAUCUAACUAACUGGCUGACUGUGGCUGCCCUCUGUCUGUCCCUCUCUACAGGAUAACUACACUAUGUUCUGGAUCUACUACCCUGGUGGAUAAUAAGGCCUGUCUGGACUUCAACACCCUGGAUAUUGCAUCCAUAGUUGGUGUGUGUCUACCCAUAUGUCCGAUUUGAGGUUGAUUGGAUCUGGGGGUGAUGUGUAGAGACGGAACAGACCCUGGAUUAUAGAUGGUGUGAACCUGAGAUGAGUCAAGGAGGAACAGGAGGCAAAAUAUGAUGUUGACACAUUGCACGCGUGUGCAUGCUAGUCACCUUUUCAUGUCUGAGCUCUCACAUGAGGACCACUCAGACUUUUCGUCAGAGACAAACCAACUGUCCUUUGGUGUGAGGUAGUAGGUUGUAUAGUUUUAGGGUCACUCCCAAGCUGUCAGAUGACUAUACAACAUACUGUCUUUCCUGAAGUGGCUGUAAUAUCAUCACAGACUCGCCACAUGAAGAACCCUCGGCAAAAGCUGCAAUGAAAAUGUACCUUUCAUGCCUACAUUAUUACCAUUCUUACAAUAUUCUUACAUCAUUUUAUAUUUGAACAGGAAAUUAGGUUUCACUUCAGGUUAAUUCACAUUUUCUGGUUGGACUCCAUCUCUAACCAACUGGUCAACCGGACUGUGCCCGGUCGUGGUUCAUGGUGUUCACACAGGGUGAGGUAGUAGGUUGUGUGGUUUCAGGGUUGUGAUUUUGCCCCAUCAGGAGUUAACUGUACAACCUACUGCCUUCCCUGAAGGGCAGCAACACAACAUUACAAGCAUGGCCACAAUGGAGCUCACCGUUUACUGUGCUGUUUUUAAGUGGAGCGCAAAGUAAAGAAGGUAAGCUAUCUCAAAUCUUUGCCUUGGUACUACUGCACAACAUCUGCUUUAUAUCUUGGAAUUUGGAAAUAGGCCUAUUGUUUAUCAACCUUCAAUUUUGUAAUAAUGCAUUCUGUACUAAAAGUCAUAAUAAAAAGUGAGUAGUCUUAGUCACGUGUGUCGACUCCUUUUGGUUGGUCAAGAAUUGAAAAUAUAUAGUUAUGCAUGUUCCUAGAAAUACUGUGUGGCCAUUUUUUAUUCUGGACAUGAAGACUGAAAC